This 490-nucleotide ribosomal RNA is filed under the name uncultured bacterium. RNAcentral's name for it is "partial 16S ribosomal RNA". It matches the Rfam family "Bacterial small subunit ribosomal RNA", at positions 29 to 507 of the family's 1533-position model. The record is from RNAcentral.
AUUGAACGCUGGCGGCAGGCCUAACACAUGCAAGUCGAACGGUAACAGGAAGACGCUUGCUUCCUUGCUGGCGAGUGGCGGACGGGUGAGUAAUGUAUGGGAAACUGCCUGGUGGAGGGGGAUAACUACGGGAAACGGACGCUAAUACCGCAUACCGCCGCCGGACCAAAGAGGGGGACCGUAGGGCCUCUCGCGAUUGGAUGUGCCGAGGUGGGAUUAGCUAGUCGGUGGGGUAACGGCUCACCUAGGCGACGAUCCGUAGCUGGUCUGAGAGGAUGACCAGCCACACUGGAACUGAGACACGGUCCAGACUCCUACGGGAGGCAGCAGUGGGGAAUAUUGCACAAUGGGCGCAAGCCUGAUGCAGCCAUACCGCGUGUGUGAAGAAGGUCUUCGGGUUGUAAAGUACUUUUGGUGGGGAGGAAGGGAUUAAGGCUAAUACCCUGGCACAUUGACGGUACCCAAAGAAGAAGCACCGGCUAACUUCGUG